GCUCUGGUGGCCUAGUGGUUAGAGCGUCCGCCUCGGAUGAGGGAGGUCGUGGGUUCUAUCCCGGACGAGUCAUACCAAAGAUUCA
Molecule: non-coding RNA, 85 nt
Organism: Potamilus streckersoni
Lineage: Eukaryota; Metazoa; Mollusca; Bivalvia; Unionida; Unionidae
Source: the annotation of a GenBank genome assembly